AAAACUCUUGUAAAAUCGAUAUGUAAUUGAUUAACACAGAUUGCUGGAGGAAACGGAAGAUGAGCUUGCUGAGGUAAUAAAGAAUGGAUCGUUAAAAGUAGGAGAUGCGCGCAAGGUUCUGUGUCAAACUUUAAGUAAUCACUGCAGCAAAUCAAGAUUCAGAAGAUGAGGACGCCGAUGACGAUGCAGAUGAAUUAUAGCUCAUUCCGGGGAAAUGUCAUCACUUUUUUUACCAACAAGGUCCGACUACAAAGACAUUUUUUUACGACUCAUUUGUAGCUUAUACACCUUUUUCAGCCUUUAUGUUCCAUCGAUGAUCCGUUCUAGAAAACUUAUUCAGACUGUGACAGCGUUCUGUUUUAGAGAUUUUUUUCUCAAAGACAUUUAAAUUAGCUUCACAGAACAAUGAUACUAGUCUAAAUUAAAUACUAAAUACAAUUAAAACUAGAUUGUUUGUUACUCA
This is a long non-coding RNA of Raphanus sativus (radish), 463 nucleotides long. RefSeq lists it as uncharacterized. The record is from RefSeq and is a predicted model, not a curated record. The transcript has 3 exons. NCBI's taxonomy places the organism in Eukaryota, Viridiplantae, Streptophyta, Magnoliopsida, Brassicales, Brassicaceae.